RNAcentral lists this ribosomal RNA (404 nucleotides) under uncultured bacterium. RNAcentral describes it as "partial 16S ribosomal RNA". It matches the Rfam family "Bacterial small subunit ribosomal RNA", at positions 28 to 526 of the family's 1533-position model. The record is from RNAcentral.
GACGAACGCUGGCGGCGUGCUUAACACAUGCAAGUCGAGCGGAGCGGCGAACGGGUGCGUAACGCGUGAGUAACUGCCCCCCUCUCUGGGAUAACAGUUGGCAACGGCUGCUACUACCGGCUCGUGGGGGAUGACUCGCGUCCUCUCAGCUUGUUGGUGGGGUAGUGGCCUACCAAGGCGACGACGGGUAGCCGGCCUGAGAGGGCGACCGGCCACAUGUGGCUGAGAGAAGGACCAAACCCCUACGGGAGGCAGCAGUGGGGAAUAUUGCACAAUGGGGGAAACCCUGAUGCAGCAACGCGCGUGCGGGAUGACGGCCUUCGGGUUGUAACCCGCUUUCAGCCAUGACGCGGUAGUGGCAGAAGAAGCACCGGCUAACUACGUGCCAGCAGCCGCGGUAAUUC